AUUGAACGCUGGCGGCAGGCCUAACACAUGCAAGUCGAGCGGAGCCGCGGACGGGUGAGUAAUGCCUAGGAAUCUGCCUCGUAGUGGGGGAUAACGUCCGGAAACGGGCGCUAAUACCGCAUACUCUCAGAUGAGCCUAGGUCGGCUUAGCUAGUUGGUGGGGUAAAGGCCUACCAAGGCGACGCUCCGUAACUGGUCUGAGAGGAUGAUCAGUCACACUGGAACUGAGACACGGUCCAGACUCCUACGGGAGGCAGCAGUGGGGAAUAUUGGACAAUGGGCGAAAGCCUGAUCCAGCCGUGCCGCGUGUGUGAAGAAGGUCUUCGGAUUGUAAAGCACUUUCAGCGGGGAGGCGUUACCCGCAGAAGAAGCACCGGCUAACUCCGUGCCAGCCGCCGCGGUAAUUC
This 407-nucleotide ribosomal RNA is filed under the name uncultured bacterium. RNAcentral's name for it is "partial 16S ribosomal RNA". It matches the Rfam family "Bacterial small subunit ribosomal RNA", at positions 30 to 526 of the family's 1533-position model. The record is from RNAcentral.